RNAcentral lists this ribosomal RNA (446 nucleotides) under uncultured bacterium. RNAcentral's name for it is "bacterial SSU rRNA". It matches the Rfam family "Bacterial small subunit ribosomal RNA", at positions 330 to 792 of the family's 1533-position model. The record is from RNAcentral.
UCCAGACUCCUACGGGAGGCAGCAGUGGGGGAUAUUGCACAAUGGGGGAAACCCUGAUGCAGCGACGCCGCGUGGGUGAAGAAGUAUUUCGGUAUGUAAAGCCCUAUCAGCAGGGAAGAAAGAAGACGGUACCUGACUAAGAAGCCCCGGCUAACUACGUGCCAGCAGCCGCGGUAAUACGUAGGGGGCGAGCGUUAUCCGGAUUUACUGGGUGUAAAGGGAGCGUAGACGGCUGGUCAAGUCUGAAGUGAAAGCCCGGGGCUUAACCCCGGAACGGCUUUGGAAACUGAGCAGCUAGAGUGCUGGAGAGGUAAGCGGAAUUCCUAGUGUAGCGGUGAAAUGCGUAGAUAUUAGGAGGAACACCAGUGGCGAAGGCGGCUUACUGGACAGUAACUGACGUUGAGGCUCGAAAGCGUGGGGAGCAAACAGGAUUAGAUACCCGAGUA